CCUGCAAAACGAAUCUAAGUUCCCCCUUAACCCUCUUUUUCCUCCCCAGACAAGCCCAACCCAAAUGUGAUAGUUAAGGGCUAUUUAAAGGGGGUACAGCCCCUUUAAAAAAGGACACAACCUCCACCAGCGGAUAACCCCUGUACGCCCAACCCCGUGGGCCUUAAAGCAGCCACCCCCAAAGAUUGCGUCAAAGCUCUAUCAACCAAAAACCCCCAAAACCAAUGCGACUCCCUACACCCACAGCAGGCCAACCUAUAACAAUAGAUGAAUCAAUGCUAGAACGAGUAACCAGGACACUACGUCCCCCCAAGCGCCAGCCUGUAUACCAUUAACAGUAAAACCUCAAUAAUAACCACCCCCACCAUUGAACCCACCCUGUCAACCCAACUCAGGGGCGCACACUGGAGUGAUCAAAAUCUACAAAAGGAACUCGGCAAACCUAAGACCCGACUGUUUACCAAAAACAUAGCCUUCAGCCAAACAAGUAUUGAAGGUGAUGCCUGCCCAGUGACACCAUGUUUAACGGCCGCGGUA
RNAcentral lists this ribosomal RNA (537 nucleotides) under Ara macao (Scarlet macaw). RNAcentral's name for it is "partial 16S large subunit ribosomal RNA". Lineage: Eukaryota; Metazoa; Chordata; Aves; Psittaciformes; Psittacidae. The record is from RNAcentral.